UGGGGAAUAUUGCACAAUGGGCGCAAGCCUGAUGCAGCCAUGCCGCGUGUGUGAAGAAGGCCUCGGGUUGUAAAGCACUUUCAGCGAGGAGGAAGGUGGUGAGCUUAAUACGCUCAUCAAUUGACGUUACUCGCAGAAGAAGCACCGGCUAACUCCGUGCCAGCAGCCGCGGGUAAUACGGAGGGUGCAAGCGUUAAUCGGAAUUACUGGGCGUAAAGCGCACGCAGGCGGUUUGUUAAGUCAGAUGUGAAAUCCCCGGGCUCAACCUGGGAACUGCAUUUGAAACUGGCAAGCUAGAGUCUCGUAGAGGGGGGUAGAAUUCCAGGUGUAGCGGUGAAAUGCGUAGAGAUCUGGAGGAAUACCGGUGGCGAAGGCGGCCCCCUGGACGAAGACUGACGCUCA
RNAcentral lists this ribosomal RNA (402 nucleotides) under uncultured bacterium. RNAcentral describes it as "partial 16S ribosomal RNA". It matches the Rfam family "Bacterial small subunit ribosomal RNA", at positions 355 to 749 of the family's 1533-position model. The record is from RNAcentral.